UACGUAGGGUGCGAGCGUUGUCCGGAAUUAUUGGGCGUAAAGAGCUCGUAGGCGGUCCGUCGCGUCGAAUGUGAAAACCCGGGGCUCAACCCCGGGCUUGCAUUCGAUACGGGCGGACUAGAGUUCGGUAGGGGAGACUGGAAUUCCUGGUGUAGCGGUGAAAUGCGCAGAUAUCAGGAGGAACACCAAUUGCGAAGGCAGCUCGCUGGGACGUUACUGACGCUGAGACGCGAAAGCGUGGGGAGCAAACAGG
RNAcentral lists this ribosomal RNA (253 nucleotides) under uncultured bacterium. RNAcentral describes it as "partial 16S ribosomal RNA". It matches the Rfam family "Bacterial small subunit ribosomal RNA", at positions 524 to 776 of the family's 1533-position model. The record is from RNAcentral.